CAGCCGCCGCGGGAAUACGUAGGUGGCAAGCGUUGUCCGGAAUUAUUGGGCGUAAAGGGCUCGCAGGCGGUUUCUUAAGUCUGAUGUGAAAGCCCCCGGCUCAACCGGGGAGGGUCAUUUGAAACUGGGAAACUUGAGUGCAGAAGAGGAGAGUGGAAUUCCACGUGUAGCGGUGAAAUGCGUAGAGAUGUGGAGGAACACCAGUGGCGAAGGCGACUCUCUGGUCUGUAACUGACGCUGAGGAGCGAAAGCGUGGGGAGUGAACAGGAUUAGAUACCCCAGUAGUCCCUGUCUCUUAUAC
RNAcentral lists this ribosomal RNA (301 nucleotides) under uncultured bacterium. RNAcentral describes it as "partial 16S ribosomal RNA". It matches the Rfam family "Bacterial small subunit ribosomal RNA", at positions 509 to 807 of the family's 1533-position model. The record is from RNAcentral.